UGAAAAUCUUAUUGACUUAGCUUUUAUUUAAACCAUAUCAAACCAAGUAAAACAAUUGAACCGUGUGAUAAAUUUUUAAUCAAACCAAAUGGGACUGAAAACAACUUAACAAUUAAGUUGUUGGAUAGUAAACUCUUAUCACAACGCCACAUCACCAACCGACCUUUUCGCAUCACUUCUCCUCCACCAAAGAUACCUGUUAAUGGCCUGAAAUCACAGGGACAGCAGCCCCUCUGCACAGUUGCUCUUCCUCCUCCUUCCCUUGAUGUUUUUCAUGACUCUAGAGUUAUAUUUUGAAGCUUUCUCACUCUACAAUUGAAAUGGCAUCAAUAGGUACACUAUGACAGCUCUUAUUUCACUCAACGUGCUCCAUGUAUACUUUGUUUGUAUGAAAUUGGGAUGAAAUGGGUCCCUGUUAGGUUUGUGAGGGUGGUCUAUGAUACCGUCAACCAUAUACAGGGAGAUCAGUGCCUCCGUAUGCAUAUGAUGAAAUAUGAUAUGAAAAACCACAGAGUGGCCUCCUGUUAUA
Long non-coding RNA from Jatropha curcas, 529 nucleotides. RefSeq lists it as uncharacterized. Lineage: Eukaryota; Viridiplantae; Streptophyta; Magnoliopsida; Malpighiales; Euphorbiaceae. The record is from RefSeq and is a predicted model, not a curated record.